RNAcentral lists this transfer RNA (71 nucleotides) under Stonogobiops yasha (orange-striped shrimpgoby). RNAcentral describes it as "tRNA-Val". It matches the Rfam family "tRNA". From Rfam's summary of the family: Transfer RNA (tRNA) molecules are approximately 80 nucleotides in length. Their secondary structure includes four short double-helical elements and three loops (D, anti-codon, and T loops). Lineage: Eukaryota; Metazoa; Chordata; Actinopteri; Gobiiformes; Gobiidae. The record is from RNAcentral.
CAGAGCGUAGCUAAAUAGUAUAGCAUCUCCCUUACACUGAGAAGACACCCGUGCAAGCCGGGUCGCCCUGA